Molecule: ribosomal RNA, 368 nt
Filed under: uncultured Sphingobacteriales bacterium
Lineage: Bacteria; Pseudomonadati; Bacteroidota; Sphingobacteriia; Sphingobacteriales
Description: bacterial SSU rRNA
Rfam family: Bacterial small subunit ribosomal RNA
Source: RNAcentral
AGAAUCCUUCGGGCUUCUGCAAGGUGCUGCAUGGUUGUCGUCAGCUCGUGCCGUGAGGUGUCGGGUUAAGUCCCAUAACGAGCGCAACCCUUAUCGUUAGUUGCCAUCUGGUAAUGCAGGGGACUCUAGCGAAACUGCCACCGUAAGGUGAGAGGAAGGUGGGGAUGACGUCAAAUCAGCACGGCCCUUAUGUCCAGGGCUACACACGUGUUACAAUGGCCGGUACAGAGGGCAGCUACCUGGUGACAGGAUGCUAAUCUCGAAAACCGGUCUCAGUUCGGAUCGAAGUCUGCAACUCGACUUCGUGAAGCUGGAUUCGCUAGUAAUCGCGCAUCAGCUAUGGCGCGGUGAAUACGUUCCCGGGCCUU